UGCAGGAACUUGUGAGUCUCCUAUUGAAAAUGGACAGGAGACUGACAAGUUCCCGGGAA
RNAcentral lists this microRNA precursor (59 nucleotides) under Rattus norvegicus (Norway rat). RNAcentral's name for it is "Rno-Mir-873-v1_pre stem-loop". The record is from RNAcentral. Lineage: Eukaryota; Metazoa; Chordata; Mammalia; Rodentia; Muridae.